This 63-nucleotide transfer RNA is filed under the name Urechis caupo. RNAcentral describes it as "tRNA-Asp". The record is from RNAcentral. Lineage: Eukaryota; Metazoa; Annelida; Polychaeta; Xenopneusta; Urechidae.
AGAACGCUAGUUAAACUAUAACCUAAGCCUGUCACGCUUAUAUUGCCCUAUGGGCGCUUUCUA